This 120-nucleotide ribosomal RNA is filed under the name Bistichella sp. RNAcentral's name for it is "partial small subunit ribosomal RNA". It matches the Rfam family "Eukaryotic small subunit ribosomal RNA", at positions 1678 to 1804 of the family's 1831-position model. The record is from RNAcentral. Lineage: Eukaryota; Ciliophora; Spirotrichea.
GCUCCUACCGAUUUCGAGUGAUCCGGUGAACCUUUUGGACUGCGCGGGGCCUCGUGCCCAGUGUGGAAAAUCAAGUAAACCAUAUCACUUAGAGGAAGGAGAAGUCGUAACAAGGUUUCC